UUGUAAUUGAUCUGCUCCCUUUGCUUUGAGUGUUUACCUAUACCUUCAUCCAACAGUUAAGCAAUAAUGAAUACGGAGAAUCGGAAUUUUCCAGCUAGGCCUCCUCCUCCUCCGUUCUCCUCCUCUCCUUUCGCAUCUGCUCCGCCGCCAGGUGUUGUUCCACCUCAAUCCGGUGGACCAGAGGCGGUUGGCUUUAGACCACCUGCAAGGCCUUUCACACCUUCUGGUCCUCCUAUGGCUCCACCAGCGGGUGUGAUGAGGCCUGGCCAACCUCCUUUGGUUUCUCAGCUUCCAGGGAGUAGACCUCCACCGCCAUCAGCUUAUGGUCCUCCCGGUGGUGGUGGUUCUUUUCAGCGGUUUCCAACCCCUCCUCCUAGUGGUGUACCACCACCACCUCAAACUCUUGCAGGUCACUUAUCGCCUCCCAUGUCUUUUCGCCCACAGCAACCAAUGGCUCCUGUUACAAUGGGACCUCCUCCACAGAGUAUGACUUCUGGAAUACCUGGAGGGUUUGCUUCUCCCUCUGGUCCUGGUUUUCAACAGUCCAUGCCUGGUGGUCCACAGCCAUCUUAUCCUGGUUAUCCCAGUAAUCAGGUCUUACGGGGUCCCCCAAAGCCGUUCCAGUCUCCAUCUCAGGGUCCUCCGUCUGCAGUCUCAUCGUAUCCUCCUCAGACAGGAGGUUUUGCUCAGCACCCAGGACAGCAGAACAUGCAUCCAAGCUAUGCUCCUCCUCCUACCAGUAACGUUCAAGGCUUGGUUGAAGAUUUCAAUUCGCUGUCCCUUUCAAAUAUUCCGGGGUCGCUUGAGCCAGGACUUGAUCAUACCUCGUUCCCAAGGCCAUUGGAUGGUGACGUGGAGCCGAGUUCGUUUGCUGAAGCGUACCCUAUGAAUUGCCAUUCUAGAUAUCUGCGGCUGACAACUAAUGCGAUUCCAAAUUCACAGUCUCUGGCGUCGAGGUGGCAUUUGCCUCUAGGAGCUGUUGUUUGUCCACUUGCUGAGGCUCCUGAAGGGGUUAGUAUUUGCCAAACUAAUAAUCAAGUCUUUUAAAUUCUUUCAUGUUUUGAUAAUCUGGAACUAUUCACCUACUAUAUAUGAGCAUAUAACUUUUCCCUUAUUUUGAAAAUUGUCGUUUUAUCUGUUCAGGAGGAAGUGCCAUUAAUUGAUUUUGGUUCAAGUGGCAUCAUCCGCUGCAGAAGAUGCCGUACCUAUGUGAAUCCUUAUGUUACUUUCACAGAUUCUGGAAGAAAGUGGCGGUGUAAUAUUUGUUCUAUGCUUAAUGAGGGUAAUUUUUCCGAAUCUCCAGGAUUAGUGUUGUUAACCAAUGUGAUAUAGAACGUUGUUGUUGAUUGAAUAUGCCUUGUCUAAUGGUCGUGCAGUUUCUUUCUCUCUGAUUUUUCUUAAUCGUUAGUUUUUCCCAGUUGUCUUUGUCUAAUCUGUCCUAGUAGAAUUAUCGUAAAUGGAUUUGGUGAAAGCUACAAGGAACUGUUUUUGGUGUUAUGUAUGCUUUUUUCUGUUGUUGUGGAAUGUCAUCCCUGUCAAUAUACCUGUACAUCUGAUAUGAACUUCUCCCAGUCACUGGAAUGUCCUUUCCAUAAACUAUUUGAGAGAUGGCUUUACGUCAGUACAUGCAGGCAUAUGUUUAUAAGAUGAAUAUUCAUGGUUAUGGGUCUAAUGUUUUGUUCAGUGCCUGGUGAAUACUUCUCACAUUUGGAUGCUACUGGCCGAAGAAUGGACUUGGAUCAAAGGCUUGAGCUGACAAAGGGCAGUGUUGAAAUUAUUGCUCCAACAGAAUACAUGGUUCGGCCUCCGAUGCCACCAAUUUACUUCUUCCUCAUUGAUGUAUCAUUUUCUGCUACUAAAAGUGGGAUGCUCGAGGUAAGCAUGUUGGAUUUUAAUAUUCCACCUUGUAAUUUGUUGUGCAAUACCUUAGUUAGUAAGAACCAAUCCAUGUCUGCUUUUAUCUGAAUACACUACGUAUCGAUGGAUCUUGACUAGAUUAGACAUGCUGUCCCCUGUAGAGGCAUGCUGUGAAACUUUGAUCUUAUGCUGACCCUUUUUUCUCCUUUGGCAGGUUGCUACUCAAACGAUUAAGUCUUGUUUAGAUAACCUUCCUGGUUAUCCCAGAACUCAAAUUGGAUUUAUUACUUACGACAGCACUUUACAUUUUUAUAACAUGAAGGUAACAUAAUUGUAAAUUCAGUGGAUUUUUUUGUUCUGAAAUACUCUAGCCUUAAUCGCGUAUUUUUAUUGGACCUGGGUAAUGCAGUCAUCUUUGAGUCAGCCGCAAAUGAUGGUCGUUUCUGAUUUAGAUGAUAUAUUUGUCCCAUUACCGGAUGAUCUCCUUGUCAAUCUGUCUGAGUCUAGAAAUGUAGUGGAAGCCUUUUUGGACAGUCUGCCUCUGAUGUUUCAAAAUAAUGUCAAUGUGGAAUCGGCUUUUGGUCCAGCCCUCAAAGCGGCGUACAUGGUUAUGGUUAGUUACUGUGCUGCCAUGUCAAAUGAAAAUCAAAUAAUUCAUUUGAUGUGAGAGUCCUAUAUGGAAGCUCAUCUGGAAUUUGUAUCAGUUUGUAGUUGACUCUGUUUUCUCUUUCUAUUUCAGAACCAACUUGGUGGCAAGUUGCUAAUUUUCCAGAACUCGUUACCUUCUCUUGGUGUUGGGCGGUUAAAGUUGCGCGGAGAUGAUCCUCGUGUCUAUGGAACUGACAAAGAAUAUACUUUAAGAGUAGCUGAAGACACCUUCUAUAAGCAAAUGGCUGCCGAUUCGUCUGCUUCGGCGCAGAUGAUUUCUCCUCUGCUUCUUCUUCUGAAUCAUCAUCAUUUUCGUCGUCUUCCUCGUCUGCUUCUGCAGCUUCCUGCGCCGCGACGGCUUCUCUCGCAGACAUCUGCCUUUCGUCCUCGAACUUAACCACCGGAUGACGGAGGAUCCUAUCGUCUUCGCCGUCACCGUGAUCUCUGACGGAAUCGUGGCGUGAGAACUGCGGCUUGAAGCUCCUCGACGGGGGUCCGUCUCCAGGGAUGCUUACGUCGGGGAGAUCGUCCGGGUUUUUACUCGACCCGACCCGCAUUGAAGAUCCGCGCGUGAACAUCCCGCGUCCUGAAGAGCCAGGUGGAUCCGACAUUGGGGAUUGCGUAGAAUAAACAGACGGAGUUUGAACGGAACGCUGCUCCGAGGUGUUUGGGAUUGGGGAUAAGGAUAUCCGAGGCGAGGAUAUGCAGACGAGGUCCAAGCAGAACCGGUUCGUUCAAUAACAACGGUCGAUAAAGGAGAAUACAGGUUAGCUCUUUCUACAAACUAUAAUGGAAAUGUACCUCUUGCAUCGAAUUAGAGAGUGUUGAAUAACGUUUUAGCUAUGGAUUGCUUAGACUGAAAAUUCUAAAAUUUUGAUCAUUUGUUAGUUUUUGUGUUUCUUUUGGUAAUUUGUUUAUCUUUUCUUUUAAAUUUUCUAUUAACUUUUUUCGUUUUUUUGUUCUUGCCUCCUUAAUUUGGAAGAAAUUUUUGUGGCUAUAAGUGUUUUUAAAAUGCAGAACCAGGGGUAUGGAGGAACGAGUCUUAAGGUGGAAGAAAAUGAUCUAAAUUAAGGAUGGUUCCACAAUUUUGUGACAAGAGCUAUCCACUUUCCUUAUUUAUUGAUGAUCAAUCUUUUUUUAUUACAAGGCUGACAAAUUACCAGGUUAGUGAAUUUUUGCAUGAAGAGACAAAAUGUACAUGGAUCUACUGAAAUGCUUUUUCUAUGAGACUUCCAACCUUUCAUCAUGAAAAUUUAACUAACAAAAAAAUUAACUAAUGUUAGCCUUUUAUAAAGGAGUCUUGGCCAUUUUACAUUAAAUUUAUCUAAUCAUGGUUCUGACGUGAUAAAAGAUAAUAUUCAUGCUUUAUCACCAACAAAUUGACAGUGGUUUGUUUUCCUAUCAAGUGAGUAAUCUACGAAUGAAUAGGUAGUAGUGACAAAGUUUUGUUUUCUUGAGAUAUAUUUGUAAUAGUAUAUUUGCAAUUACGAAAAUCAAAAGAGUCAAUAUGUCCGAGUGGUUAAGGAGACAGACUUGAAAUCUGUUGGGCUUCGCCCGCGCAGGUUCGAACCCUGCUGUUGACGAUAUUUUUGAAAUUUGUUUUUUAUUCAAUACAAACCAUAGUUGUAAACGACAAAACUAGCCUAAUCUUUUUGCAAUGAUAAGCCCAAUUCUUGGCCCAUUAUCAAUACCACAUCGUCUCCUUCGCCGCGCAAUGUUACGUGUCAAAUCUUCUUAGAGGUCACGAUCUGAAUCCGAUCGCUGCUGUAGAAUCAGUUUCGUGCUCCGCAGAUUCUCGAGCUUCCUCUCUCUCUGUCUCUCACUUGAGGUAGGUUAGGUAGUCUUCGCUCUGUAACCAUUUAUCAAAAUUGAUCUCAGUUUAGAAUUCUUUAAGCUCAUAUUCAACGGUGAUUGAUCCAGAUCUUCCCGAGCUCCAGAAGAAGGGAUCGGAGAGAAAGAGAGUUUCUACGUUUCUCGAUCUGAAUCAUAGUAAAAGAUCUCUUCUUGAGAAAGAGACGAAACGUCUUUUGCAGAAGUUGCCAGUUUUGAAUUUGAAGUUAAAACUACCGAUUCUUUGAUGAGGUCUAGGUAGAAUCUAGGAUUGUAAUUGAUCUGCUCCCUUUGCUUUGAGUGUUUACCUAUACCUUCAUCCAACAGUUAAGCAAUAAUGAAUACGGAGAAUCGGAAUUUUCCAGCUAGGCCUCCUCCUCCUCCGUUCUCCUCCUCUCCUUUCGCAUCUGCUCCGCCGCCAGGUGUUGUUCCACCUCAAUCCGGUGGACCAGAGGCGGUUGGCUUUAGACCACCUGCAAGGCCUUUCACACCUUCUGGUCCUCCUAUGGCUCCACCAGCGGGUGUGAUGAGGCCUGGCCAACCUCCUUUGGUUUCUCAGCUUCCAGGGAGUAGACCUCCACCGCCAUCAGCUUAUGGUCCUCCCGGUGGUGGUGGUUCUUUUCAGCGGUUUCCAACCCCUCCUCCUAGUGGUGUACCACCACCACCUCAAACUCUUGCAGGUCACUUAUCGCCUCCCAUGUCUUUUCGCCCAC
Molecule: long non-coding RNA, 5048 nt
Filed under: Brassica napus (rape)
Lineage: Eukaryota; Viridiplantae; Streptophyta; Magnoliopsida; Brassicales; Brassicaceae
Description: long non-coding RNA (BNAP_LNC004714)
Rfam family: tRNA (bases 4007-4088)
Source: RNAcentral